This 804-nucleotide ribosomal RNA is filed under the name uncultured Campylobacter sp. Its description in RNAcentral is "bacterial SSU rRNA". It matches the Rfam family "Bacterial small subunit ribosomal RNA", at positions 585 to 1386 of the family's 1533-position model. Lineage: Bacteria; Pseudomonadati; Campylobacterota; Epsilonproteobacteria; Campylobacterales; Campylobacteraceae. The record is from RNAcentral.
AAGUCUCUUGUGAAAUCUAAUGGCUUAACCAUUAAACUGCUUGGGAAACUGAUAGUCUAGAGUGAGGGAGAGGCAGAUGGAAUUGGUGGUGUAGGGGUAAAAUCCGUAGAUAUCACCAAGAAUACCCAUUGCGAAGGCGAUCUGCUGGAACUCAACUGACGCUAAGGCGCGAAAGCGUGGGGAGCAAACAGGAUUAGAUACCCUGGUAGUCCACGCCCUAAACGAUGUACACUAGUUGUUGGGAUGCUAGUCAUCUCAGUAAUGCAGCUAACGCAUUAAGUGUACCGCCUGGGGAGUACGGUCGCAAGAUUAAAACUCAAAGGAAUAGACGGGGACCCGCACAAGCGGUGGAGCAUGUGGUUUAAUUCGAAGAUACGCGAAGAACCUUACCUGGGCUUGAUAUCCUAAGAACCUUAUAGAGAUAUGAGGGUGCUAGCUUGCUAGAACUUAGAGACAGGUGCUGCACGGCUGUCGUCAGCUCGUGUCGUGAGAUGUUGGGUUAAGUCCCGCAACGAGCGCAACCCACGUAUUUAGUUGCUAACGGUUCGGCCGAGCACUCUAAAUAGACUGCCUUCGUAAGGAGGAGGAAGGUGUGGACGACGUCAAGUCAUCAUGGCCCUUAUGCCCAGGGCGACACACGUGCUACAAUGGCAUAUACAAUGAGACGCAAUACCGCGAGGUGGAGCAAAUCUAUAAAAUAUGUCCCAGUUCGGAUUGUUCUCUGCAACUCGAGAGCAUGAAGCCGGAAUCGCUAGUAAUCGUAGAUCAGCCAUGCUACGGUGAAUACGUUCCCGGGUCUUGUAC